Molecule: ribosomal RNA, 459 nt
Filed under: uncultured bacterium
Lineage: Bacteria
Description: partial 16S ribosomal RNA
Rfam family: Bacterial small subunit ribosomal RNA
Source: RNAcentral
CCUACGUGAGGCAGCAGUGAGGAAUAUUGGUCAAUGGCCGGAAGGCUGAACCAGCCAAGUCGCGUGAGGGACGACUGCCCUAUGGGCUGUAAACCUCUUUUAUAAGGGAAGAAUAAAUGCUACGUGUAGCAUGAUCCCUGUACCUUAUGAAUAAGCACCGGCUAAUACCGUGUCAGAAGCCGCGGUAAUACGGGGGAUGUGAGCGUUACCCGGGUUUAUUGGGGUUAACGGGGGCGUAGGCGGUUUUUUAAGUUAGGGGUUAAACGUCGGGGCUUCACUUUGAUUUGCCAUUAAUACUGUAAGACUCGAGUUCAGACGAGGUAGGCGGAAUAAGUUAAGUAGCGGUGAAAUGCUUAGAUAUAACUUAGAACACCGAUAGCGAAGGCAGCUUACCAGACUGCGACUGACGCUGAAGCACGAGAGCGUGGGUAGCGAACAGGAUUAGAUACCCCGGUAGUC